Ailuropoda melanoleuca (giant panda) is the source of this 187-nucleotide non-coding RNA. Ensembl annotates it as small Cajal body-specific RNA 16. The record is from Ensembl. Lineage: Eukaryota; Metazoa; Chordata; Mammalia; Carnivora; Ursidae.
AUGGUCCGGGAAAAGGCUCCUGUGUUGCUGAACCUGCCCGUUUGUGGGUGCAGCCUUGUACCAGGCAGCCCGACCCUGACCUAGAAUAAAUUCCCGGGAGCAGUUUUUCCUGGGGUUUGAAUUUGCAGUAACAGGUGUGAACAUUCUAGCAGCAGUUUGAUGAUCAUGUAUGAUACUGCAAACAGGA